AUAUAUACAUAUACACACAUAUGUAUAUAUAUAUGUGUGUGUGUGUGUGUAUAU
This 54-nucleotide microRNA precursor is filed under the name Podarcis lilfordi (Lilford's wall lizard). The record is from RNAcentral. Lineage: Eukaryota; Metazoa; Chordata; Lepidosauria; Squamata; Lacertidae.